Papio anubis (olive baboon) is the source of this 147-nucleotide unclassified non-coding RNA. It matches the Rfam family "Metazoan signal recognition particle RNA". From Rfam's summary of the family: The signal recognition particle (SRP) is a universally conserved ribonucleoprotein. It is involved in the co-translational targeting of proteins to membranes. The record is from Ensembl. NCBI's taxonomy places the organism in Eukaryota, Metazoa, Chordata, Mammalia, Primates, Cercopithecidae.
GCCGGGCGUGGUGGCGGGCGCCUGUAGUCCCAGCUACUCGGAGGCUGAGGCGGGAGAAUGGCGUGAACCCGGGAGGUGGAGCUUGCAGUGAGCCAAGAUCGCGCCACUGCACUCCAGCCUGGGUGACAGAGCGAGACUCCGUCUCAA